This 381-nucleotide ribosomal RNA is filed under the name Triticum aestivum (bread wheat). RNAcentral's name for it is "partial small subunit ribosomal RNA". Lineage: Eukaryota; Viridiplantae; Streptophyta; Magnoliopsida; Poales; Poaceae. The record is from RNAcentral.
AUCGCAUCAGGCAUUAGCCGCCUACACUCAGUCCCAGAUAUAGCCAAGCCAAAGCACGAGCUCUCUCCCUCCAAAGUAAACGAGUCCCAGCCGGCUCCCAUCCUUGCAAGCAUGAGGACUCAGGUGCUGCUCAUCUCGUUGGUCGUCCUCGCCGUCGUCGCGGCGCUGCCCCUCGCACAGGGCCAAGGGGCGAGCCCGUGGCCGUGCUGCGACAAGUGCGGCGUGUGCACCAAGUCCAUCCCGCCGCAGUGCAGGUGCCAGGACGUGUCGCCGACUGGGUGCAACUCGGCUUGCAAGAGCUGCGUCAGGUCCACCGCCGGCUUCCAAUGCGCGGACAGCAUCACCAACUUCUGCGAGCGCCGCUGCACGCCGGCCGCGUGA